AACGAACGCUGGCGGCAUGCCUAACACAUGCAAGUCGAACGAGACCUUCGGGUCUAGUGGCGCACGGGUGCGUAACGCGUGGGAACCUGCCCUUAGGUUCGGAAUAACUCCCCGAAAGGGGUGCUAAUACCGGAUAAUGUCUUCGGACCAAGGAUUUAUCGCCUUUGGAUGGGCCCGCGUUGGAUUAGCUAGUUGGUAGGGUAAAAGCCUACCAAGGCGACGAUCCAUAGCUGGCCUGAGAGGAUGAUCAGCCACACUGGGACUGAGACACGGCCCAGACUCCUACGGGAGGCAGCAGUGGGGAAUAUUGGACAAUGGGCGAAAGCCUGAUCCAGCAAUGCCGCGUGAGUGAUGAAGGCCUUAGGGUUGUAAAGCUCUUUUACCCGGGAUGAUAAUGACAGUACCGGGAGAAUAAGCUCCGGCUAACUCCGUG
RNAcentral lists this ribosomal RNA (433 nucleotides) under uncultured bacterium. Its description in RNAcentral is "partial 16S ribosomal RNA". It matches the Rfam family "Bacterial small subunit ribosomal RNA", at positions 29 to 507 of the family's 1533-position model. The record is from RNAcentral.